RNAcentral lists this ribosomal RNA (292 nucleotides) under uncultured bacterium. RNAcentral's name for it is "partial 16S ribosomal RNA". It matches the Rfam family "Bacterial small subunit ribosomal RNA", at positions 505 to 796 of the family's 1533-position model. The record is from RNAcentral.
GUGUCAGCAGCCGCGGUAAUACGGAAGGGGCAAGCGUUGUUCGGAAUCAUUGGGCGUAAAGGGCGCGUAGGUGGUUCUGUAUGUCUACCGUGAAAGCAUACAGCUCAACUGUAUUUUGUCGGUAGAAACUGCAGGACUUGAGGCUGGGAGGGGCUGGUGGAAUUCCCUGUGUAGCGGUGAAAUGCGUAGAGAUGGGGGAGAACACUCGUGGCGAAGGCGGCCAGCUAGACCAGUUCUGACACUGAGGCGCGACAGCGUGGGGAGCAAACAGGAUUAGAAACCCCGGUAGUCC